CCCCAGGGGGGCCUAUUCCCUGGACCCACGCUCCCGCUGCUCCCUGCUCGGUGCCUGGGGGCCCUGCCUGAGCGAAGUGGGGAGCUGUGCCUCUGUUGCAGGAAGAUCACCUCGGGGAAGGCUUUCUGUGGCCCAUCUUCGCCUCCAGCUGCUGAAGAGGAUUUGUUCAGAGACCUUGAAAUGGUGUCUUUUUUCUUUUCUUUUUUUUUUUUUUUUUGCAUUUCUGAGCCUGUUCUCCUCAUAAAAAUGGCCAUUACCCAUUCUCUCCCUUACCUGCUUAAUCACAAUGCACCUUUCAGUCCUAGAGGAACGGAAAGGAUUAGUGGUCACAGGUGAGCCCCACCUGAGUGGACAUCGAGCCAUGAAAUGAGUGUUCCACUGGUUUGUGGCUAGAGGGCUUGUCAGCAGUGACAUCCUUGCUAUAAAUGCCAUUUCCAGGCAGAGAGGCACACAGCUGACGACCCGUGUCACAGCAGACCAAUUCUGUUUGUAUCUGAGGCAAAAGACUUGGUCCUGGAUAAGUCACACAGCCUUCAAAAUAUUGACCACUUGCGUGUUAAUUAUCCUUCCUCCACCCGGCAAGCACCAAAGACAGCACCAGUGCGGCCCUCACACUGCCGCUUCUGACGGUCACAGAAUCAGGCAGGCAGAGGCCUCCACUUUACAGAGACCCCCUUCCCCAGUGCCAUGUGGAGGAUGGAUCUGAAGAGGAGGAAGCUGGGAGCAAGUGACGGUACAGCUGUUGCAGUGGUGCAGGUGAGCUGUGACGGUUGGAACUUGGCAGUGUUAGUAGUCCUGGAGG
Myotis lucifugus (little brown bat) is the source of this 802-nucleotide long non-coding RNA. RefSeq lists it as uncharacterized. Lineage: Eukaryota; Metazoa; Chordata; Mammalia; Chiroptera; Vespertilionidae. The transcript is spliced from 3 exons. The record is from RefSeq and is a predicted model, not a curated record.